Amphibalanus amphitrite is the source of this 775-nucleotide long non-coding RNA. RefSeq lists it as uncharacterized. Lineage: Eukaryota; Metazoa; Arthropoda; Thecostraca; Balanomorpha; Balanidae. The record is from RefSeq and is a predicted model, not a curated record. The transcript is spliced from 3 exons.
CGGAGUUGUAUUGUUAACAGUGAAAUAGGUAGAAGGCGUCACUGCGGUCGGUGGAGAUGUCCAGUCGGUCGGGCCGGAUCGGCUGCAGGCUCGUCAUACCACAGCGAUUACGAAGGACUGUUCUAGAAGCCCUCCACGCCAGCCACCUGGGGAAGGAGAAUACGAAGGCCCGCGCGAGACAGAUCGUCUACUGGCCCGGGAUCUACCGGGAUGUGGAAAAUGUCACCCGCAGCUGUACCAUCUGCCAGAGAGAUCUUCUACCCGCUCAGCAGCAAGAGACCAUGAUGAGGAGACCGCCAGCGGAAAGGCCGUUCGAACUACACAUCGACUUUGCCGAUCACGCCGGCAGGAAGUACCUCGUGGCAGUGGACAGAUACUCCGGGUGGCUGUUUGUCGCCGACCUCGGUGUAAGCGCCCCCGCUUACACCUGUCCGAAGGACGAUGGCAGGCGUCAUGACGAGCGCACUCGCUACGCGACUAAGCGUAAAUGGACGGCACGGGAAAAGGGCUUUCGGCGGUACCCGGCUUUUUGAUGUCGUGUUCAGAGCCGUGCGGCGGAACGGGCUUACCCAGGACACCAACAACGGCCAGCUGGAGGUGGCGCCACGAAAGUGGUUUACGGGUGCCAGGAACCGCGACGGAGGCCGCCAGGAGAGGAGACCAGCUGGAGUUUAAGCGGAGGAGCAGAUGAGAGAAGAAGUCUAGAGAUGAGCAGAAGAGAGAAGAGAGUUUAAACAGCAUUUUUGUGUUUAUCGAUAAUAUAAAUAUUGAUCAC